UUCAGGAAAUGUUUCCUAGAUGCUGACCUAUCAAUUUCAUUUGUUGGCACACGUGCGACUUUGUCAGUUGGUAAAAGUUCUGUAACAAUUAAUUUUGACUUAUUCGAAGCCAAAGCAGCUGAGAAAAAAGUUGAACUACAAAACAUUCUAUUUAGAUUAGCUACCACCGCAACGUCACUUGAAAUUGACCUUGAAAAGGCAAAUAAAACAAUAGACACUCUAAAAGCACAAAAAUCGCAAAAUACUGGAGGUUUGAUGGACUUUGGGCCUAAAAUGGGAACUAACCCUGCUAAAGUUAAACCAAAGAAAACAGGGAUGAGUGUUGUUAAUCCUACAAGCAAGAAAAGAAAGGCUGCAACAGGAGUCGUGUUCGAUUAGUAUCAUCAUUAGAUUCGUAACAUUUAUGUAUCUACUAUGUCUGUUAUUUCAUUAGUUUUUUUAUAUUAAAUAUUAAUAAAUACAUGUUGUGAAAUCACUGAAAUUUUUAUACGGUCUUAAGAAUUGAAAUAUUGUUUUCCUUCUUCGUAACUAAAUUUUGCCGAUGAUGAUGUGAGAAAUCGACAUAAUGAUGAUAAUGACGAAAUAGGCGUAAUAACUCAAUCUUAACGUUGAUCACAUGACGAAAUAGGCGUAAUAACUCAAUCUGAACGUUGAUCACUGAUGAACCCUUGUUGACGGACAAUAACAUGUAUACCUUGCAAUGCUCCUAUUUCUAAUAAUUACUGAAAAUAAACACAUAU
RNAcentral lists this long non-coding RNA (740 nucleotides) under Mytilus galloprovincialis (Mediterranean mussel). The record is from RNAcentral. Lineage: Eukaryota; Metazoa; Mollusca; Bivalvia; Mytilida; Mytilidae.